RNAcentral lists this ribosomal RNA (460 nucleotides) under uncultured bacterium. RNAcentral's name for it is "partial 16S ribosomal RNA". It matches the Rfam family "Bacterial small subunit ribosomal RNA", at positions 338 to 795 of the family's 1533-position model. The record is from RNAcentral.
CCUACGGGAGGCAGCAGUGAGGAAUAUUGGUCAAUGGGCGGGAGCCUGAACCAGCCAAGUCGCGUGAAGGAUGACUGCCCUACGGGUUGUAAACUUCUUUUAUCAAGGAAUAAAGUGAGGCACGUGAGCCUUUUUGGAUGUACUUUAUGAAUAAGGCUUGGCUAAACCCGUGCCAGCAGCCGCGGUAAUACGGAGGGUCCGAGCGUUAUCCGGAUUUAUUGGGUUUAAAGGGAGCGUAGAUGGGUUGUUAAGUCAGUUGUGAAAGUUUGCGGCUCAACCGUAGAAUUGCAAUGGAUACUGGCAGUCUUGAGUACGGUUGAGGUAGGCGGAAUUCGUGGUGUAGCGGUGAAAUGCUUAGAUAUCACGAAGAACUCCGAUUGCGAAGGCAGCUUACUAAACUGCCACUGACAUUGAUGCUCGAAGGUGUGGGUAUCAAACAGGAUUAGAUACCCUGGUAGUC